RNAcentral lists this ribosomal RNA (460 nucleotides) under uncultured bacterium. RNAcentral's name for it is "partial 16S ribosomal RNA". It matches the Rfam family "Bacterial small subunit ribosomal RNA", at positions 338 to 795 of the family's 1533-position model. The record is from RNAcentral.
CCUACGGGUGGCAGCAGUGAGGAAUAUUGGUCAAUGGACGAGAGUCUGAACCAGCCAAGUAGCGUGAAGGAAGACUGCCCUAUGGGUUGUAAACUUCUUUUAUAAAGGAAUAAAACGAGGCACGCGUGCCUUUUUGCAUGUAUCUUAUGAAUAAGGAUCGGCUAACUCCGUGCCAGCAGCCGCGGUAAUACGGAGGAUUCGAGCGUUAUCCGGAUUUAUUGGGUUUAAAGGGAGCGUAGAUGGGUUGUUAAGUCAGUUGUGAAAGUUUGCGGCUCAACCGUAAAAUUGCAAUUGAUACUGGCAGUCUUGAGUACAGUUGAGGUAGGCGGAAUUCAUGGUGUAGCGGUGAAAUGCUUAGAUAUCACGAAGAACCCCGAUUGCGAAGGCAGCUUACUAAGCUGUGACUGACAUUGAUGCUCGAAAGUGUGGGUAGCAAACAGGAUUAGAUACCCUAGUAGUC